Molecule: ribosomal RNA, 482 nt
Filed under: uncultured bacterium
Lineage: Bacteria
Description: bacterial SSU rRNA
Rfam family: Bacterial small subunit ribosomal RNA
Source: RNAcentral
GACGAACGCUGGCGGCGUGCUUAACACAUGCAAGUCGAACGGUAAGGCCCUUCGGGGUACGACGAGUGGCGAACGGGUGGAGUAACACGUGGGUGAUCUGCCCUGCACUUCGGGAUAAGCCUGGGAAACUGGGUCUAAUACCGGAUAGGACCAUGGACUUCACGGUUUGUGGUGGAAAGCUUUUGCGGUGUGGGAUGGGCCCGCGGCCUAUCAGCUUGUUGGUGGGGUAAUGGCCUACCAAGGCGACGACGGGUAGCCGGCCUGAGAGGGUGUCCGGCCACACUGGGACUGAGAUACGGCCCAGACUCCUACGGGAGGCAGCAGUGGGGAAUAUUGCACAAUGGGCGCAAGCCUGAUGCAGCGACGCCGCGUGAGGGAUGACGGCCUUCGGUUGGUAACCUACUUUCAAUAGGACGAAGCGCAAGUGACGGUACCGUAUAGAAGAAGCACCGGCCAACUACGUGCCAGCAGCCGCGGUAAGU